Molecule: long non-coding RNA, 905 nt
Filed under: Salmo salar (Atlantic salmon)
Lineage: Eukaryota; Metazoa; Chordata; Actinopteri; Salmoniformes; Salmonidae
Description: lncRNA (ENSSSAG00000098230.1)
Source: RNAcentral
AGCAUGCCUGCCAUGUAGCAUGCUUCACUCUAUAACGUGAGCUGUUCAGUAUGUAUUAACAGUCCUUUCUACCUCGCCGUUUUUGAUAGAUAUAACAUUAGCCAUCGAGAACAAAAGUUUUGCUACUUUUCUCAAAACAUUGAUUCCAUGAAUUUAGCAGGCGCUAUCAACAGAUCAGCUGGAAAAAGUGAUGGGCUUCUUUCUGCACACGCCACAGUCAGUGUGAACCAGAGUGACUUGACACAAUGCUGGUCAAACAAGAUGUAGUUACAAACAAAACAGAGUUAAAUAGUUCCAAUCUGCCGUGAAGCGAUCAUCCAUGUAUACGGGCUUCACCAAACAUUACGAUCAUGUCACACGUGGGCAGGCAUCUACUCUGUUUGCAUAGCUUCCCAGGCAACCACCGCAGCAGGAAUGCUGUGCUACAAGGCAAAUAAGGGGGGAUAUGCUGGGACGCCUGUGAAGACAGACCCAACAUAUUACAUGUAGACAAACUCCUGGAUCUCCUCUUCAAUGAGGUCACCAUUGAUCCAGUGCCAUAUGUGGGGAAGCUGUGCAAGCUGUCCAUCCCAGGACUCCUGUCUGCCCAGUGUGUGAGGCCUGACAAGGGAGGCCAUAGCUGGAUUUGUCUCCUGCUUCAAUCUUGGGGGUGACUGAAGCCAAGUGGGUGAUUGAAGCCUGCUUGAUUGAAGUGGGGUACAUGGGUGCCCCUCCUCUCCCACUUCCCUACACAUCAAUCUCUGUAGUUGGUUGCAAGUAAUUCACUUUUACGUGAUAUAAUAUCACAUUUUAUUACUUUGUGUUGUAUUUUUUAAGCCUUCGGACGGGAGAUGAGUGUUACAAAUUGUACCAAUUAAUGGGUCCAGCACACUGUAGGGCAACCGGGUUCCUAUAUUAUAUUAUUA